UACGAGAGGCCCAAACGUUAUUCGGAAGUACUGGGCUUAAAGAGUUCGUAGGCGGCGCAGAAAGUAGGGUGUGAAAGCCCUCGGCUCAACCGAGGAAUUGCGCUCUAAACUACUGUGCUUGAGGAAUCUAGAGGUGAGCGGAACUGAUGGUGGAGCGGUGAAAUGCGUUGAUAUCAUCAGGAACACCGGAGGCGAAGGCGGCUCACUGGGGAUUUUCUGACGCUGAGGAACGAAAGCCAGGGGAGCGAACGGG
RNAcentral lists this ribosomal RNA (253 nucleotides) under uncultured bacterium. Its description in RNAcentral is "partial 16S ribosomal RNA". It matches the Rfam family "Bacterial small subunit ribosomal RNA", at positions 524 to 776 of the family's 1533-position model. The record is from RNAcentral.